AGGAUGAACGCUGGCGGCGUGCUUAACACAUGCAAGUCGAACGAUGAUCCCUAGCUUGCUGGGGGGAUUAGUGGCGAACGGGUGAGUAACACGUGAGUAACCUGCCCUUGACUCUGGGAUAAGCCUGGGAAACUGGGUCUAAUACUGGAUACGACCUUCCAUCGCAUGGUGGUUGGUGGAAAGCUUUUGUGGUUUUUGGAUGGACUCGCGGCCUAUCAGCUUGUUGGUGGGGUAAUGGCCUACCAAGGCGACGACGGGUAGCCGGCCUGAGAGGGUGGACGGCCACACUGGGACUGAGACACGGCCCAGACUCCUACGGGAGGCAGCAGUGGGGAAUAUUGCACAAUGGGCGCAAGCCUGAUGCAGCGACGCCGCGUGAGGGAUGAAGGCCUUCGGGUUGUAAACCUCUUUCAGUAGGAAGAAGCGAAAGUGACGUACCUGCAGAAGAAGCGCCGGCUAACUACGUGCCAGCAGCCGC
RNAcentral lists this ribosomal RNA (478 nucleotides) under uncultured soil bacterium. Its description in RNAcentral is "bacterial SSU rRNA". It matches the Rfam family "Bacterial small subunit ribosomal RNA", at positions 26 to 518 of the family's 1533-position model. The record is from RNAcentral.